This 897-nucleotide long non-coding RNA is filed under the name Marmota monax (woodchuck). The record is from RNAcentral. Lineage: Eukaryota; Metazoa; Chordata; Mammalia; Rodentia; Sciuridae.
CCAAGCUUUAAAAAAAUCAAUAUUUCUUUUCAAUAAUGAAUCUUCAACAAAACUUUCCACCACCCACAUUACACUUCUGUUUCACAUUUUAAUCUGAAAACUAAGCAAUAACAGUAAUCAACACUUUCAGAUGUCUUAAAAUGUGCCAAAGACAAAUUUCAACAGAGAGGGCCCCUACAAUGUAUCUGGUUAGUGUUUCUCAAACUCUCAAGUUCAUCAGAAACAGAAAAGCCUGAGAAACUGUCGCAGCCAAGGGAGACUAUGGAGAUAACACAAUUAAAUGCAAUAAGUAUCCUGGAUAGGAUCUUGGAACAGAAAAGGACAUUAGGCAACAACUGAGGAGUUCUGAAUGAAUUUUGGCCUUAGGUAAUAAUGAUGAUGCAAACAAUAUUGGUCAUUAAUUAUCACAAAAAUUCUAUAUUUUUAUUUGUUCUAAUUAAUUAUACAUGGCAGUAGAAUGCACUUUGACACAUCAUACAUAAAUGGAAUAUAAUUGCUCAUUCUCUGUACAUUAUGUAGAAUCACAAUAUACAUAAGGUAAUAAUGUCUGAUUCAUUCUACUAUCCUUCCUGUCUCUAUACUCCUCUCCCCUCUUUUUACUCCUCUCUACCUAACCCAAAAUAACUCUAUGCUUCCCUAGCCCCUGCCCUUACUGUGAAUUAGCAUCUGCAUAUCAGAGAGAACAUUCAGCCUUUGGCUUUUGGGGAUUGGCUUAUUUUGUUUAACAUGAUAUUCUCCAGCUCCAUCCAUUUAUUGGCAAAUGCCAUAAUUUUAUUCUUCUUUAAAACUGACUAAUAUUCCAUUGUGUAUAUGUACCACGUUUUCUUUAACAAUCCAUCUGUUGAAGGGCACCAGGUUUGGUUCCAUAAUUUAGCUAUUGUGAGUUGAGCUGAUAUA